Cygnus olor (mute swan) is the source of this 917-nucleotide long non-coding RNA. RefSeq lists it as uncharacterized. The record is from RefSeq and is a predicted model, not a curated record. Lineage: Eukaryota; Metazoa; Chordata; Aves; Anseriformes; Anatidae. The transcript is spliced from 3 exons.
UCCUCCAUCCUUAAAGCCUGGCCCUGCAUCCACUUUUUCCAGCUCCAGCAGGUCCUUACCUUCCCUCUAUUUGAGUACAGAGGGACAGGAAGAAAAAAAUGUAGGAAAUCGUCUCCACCUGCACUUCAUCCAGGCAGAUGCUGAUAUUUUGCAAACCCACUGACGUGAAGACUCCUUGUGAUAGAAAACCAGCGUAAGCUGAUACGGAGUGUGCCAAGCUGCAGCUGGCCCCGGCUCCCGCUGCCACCUUGACACUGCUCGCCGUUCUCACACCUGCGGAGCAUGAGAGACGAGGUCAGCCCCGAAAGGGGAGCCUGCAGGGAAUGCUUCAGCCAUCAAAAGGGAGGUGAGGCAGCGGGUUUCUGAAGAGGCAGGCAGGUGCCUGACAAAUAUUGGCAGCAAAGGGGAGAUGUGGUCAUGCAAAGAGCUUCGAGCUUCUCUGGGCCACGCCACCUCUCUUGCACCUGCCAGGACACUGGAAAGCCCAUUCCUUGAAGCCAGAAGCAGUCCCUAACCAGUGUGUGCCCUUCCCACAAAUGGCUCCAGCCCCUGCCAGUUGCUCCCAGCAUGAUGGAAACCCACAGGUACUUCCCCAGAUGCUGCUUUCUCUGGCCGUGGCUGAUGUUUUUGGCAGCUGCUGCUGUAGUACCAAUUAUUUCAAUGGAUUUUCUUUAAUUAAUUAGCAUCUUUAUACUCAGACCAGAGAGAGCCAGUGCUGUCAUGCAGUGCCUUUGGACAGAGCUGGGAGCGGGGUCCACCCAGGCUCACACACCACCUCCCCGCAGCAGCGAGGGAGGGGACAACCACCAUGCCAGGCCUGGCCAAGGGCCCAUCUAGCCCAGGACCGACCCCAGCAGUGGCCAAAAGCAGGUUUCUACAAAAGUGUGUGCCCCUAGAGCUGCUGCGAGCUGCCAGCC